RNAcentral lists this ribosomal RNA (237 nucleotides) under uncultured bacterium. RNAcentral's name for it is "partial small subunit ribosomal RNA". It matches the Rfam family "Bacterial small subunit ribosomal RNA", at positions 26 to 288 of the family's 1533-position model. The record is from RNAcentral.
AGAACGAACGCUGGCGGCAGGCUUAACACAUGCAAGUCGAACGCUCGUAGCAAUACGGGAGUGGCAGACGGGUGAGUAACGCGUGGGAACAUACCCUCCGGUUCGGAAUAGCUCAGGGAAACUUGGAUUAAUACCGGAUACGGCUGAGAGGCGAAAGAUUUAUCGCCGGAGGAUUGGCCCGCGUUCGAUUAGCUUGUUGGUGAGGUAACGGCUCACCGAAGGCGACGACGGGUAGCC